AUGGAGGAUAUCAUCAGCAGCUAUAAUGCUAACCCACAUGCUCAAAAGCUGCUCGAGCAACUCGCUAUCAGAGCAGAUCCCAAAGGGCGAUUUUCUCUGGAACAAGGCAUCCUGAGAUUUAGAGGACAAAUUUGGCUCGGGGGCGCAACCGCUAUGCAGCAGCAGGUUAUUGCCGCCUUCCAUGACACCCCGCUUGGUGGCCACUCUAGGUUUCCGGUCACAUGGCGUCGUGUGCGUCGACUGUUCGCUUGGCCUAAGAUGAAGACUCACAUACAACACUAUGUCAAAUGCUGCCCGACCUGUCAACAGGCGAAGCCAGACCGUGCAGCCUACCUAGGGCUGCUCGAACCAUUACCAGUACCCAAGGAAUCCUGGGAAAUGAUCAGUAUGGAUUUUGUUGAUGGUCUACCACCUUCUGGAGGAGUGAAUUGCAUUUUGGUCAUUGUCGACAAACUAACUAAGUUUGCUCACUUUCUUCCGUUGGCACACCCAUAUACAGCUUUGAAGGUCACCCUUCUCUAUAUGAACCAAGUGUAA
RNAcentral lists this ribosomal RNA (537 nucleotides) under Triticum aestivum (bread wheat). Its description in RNAcentral is "partial small subunit ribosomal RNA". The record is from RNAcentral. Lineage: Eukaryota; Viridiplantae; Streptophyta; Magnoliopsida; Poales; Poaceae.